This 25-nucleotide non-coding RNA is filed under the name Arabidopsis thaliana (thale cress). The record is from RNAcentral. Lineage: Eukaryota; Viridiplantae; Streptophyta; Magnoliopsida; Brassicales; Brassicaceae.
ACACCACACAAGGCUUGAAGCCAUG